This 354-nucleotide long non-coding RNA is filed under the name Paramuricea clavata. The record is from RNAcentral. Lineage: Eukaryota; Metazoa; Cnidaria; Anthozoa; Malacalcyonacea; Plexauridae.
GCUCAUUCUGUUGAUCGAUAUCGCAACAUUUAUGGCAUGAAAUGUGCUCAAUUAUAUAAGUACUAUUUAAUUAAAGCACGCGUAGGAGUGUUUUAUCACAUAUAAAACACGACGCGUAGCGGAUUGUUUUAUAUGUGAUAAAACACGACUACAAGUGCUUUAAAUGGCUUCAAAAACGACUCAUCUUAUACGAGUUCAUUGGCGAAGUAAUUUUUAAAAUAAACUUUGUCUAAACCGAGAAAAUCAAAGCUGAAGUUUAUGUAAAUUAACAUGAUUUUUUAUCACAUAUAAAACCACGACACGCUUAUGAUUUUUCUUUGUGUUUUCCUCCUGAAUUAUUAAUGAGUUUUUGAA